RNAcentral lists this transfer RNA (65 nucleotides) under Dipodomys ordii (Ord's kangaroo rat). It matches the Rfam family "tRNA". From Rfam's summary of the family: Transfer RNA (tRNA) molecules are approximately 80 nucleotides in length. Their secondary structure includes four short double-helical elements and three loops (D, anti-codon, and T loops). The record is from Rfam by way of RNAcentral. Lineage: Eukaryota; Metazoa; Chordata; Mammalia; Rodentia; Heteromyidae.
GGUGGCUCAGUGGUAGAGUGCUUGCCUUACAUGCUUGAGAGCCUGGGUUCAAUUCCUCAGCACCA